GUUUGACCUCAAAUCAGU
RNAcentral lists this ribosomal RNA (18 nucleotides) under Nakaseomyces glabratus. RNAcentral describes it as "[Candida] glabrata partial 28S ribosomal RNA". Lineage: Eukaryota; Fungi; Ascomycota; Saccharomycetes; Saccharomycetales; Saccharomycetaceae. The record is from RNAcentral.